AUGAACCGGCUCAGGAGAAGGCUGCAGCCUAGGGGGGGUACUGGUGAGGCUCAAUCAAGCACUGCCCAUGCGAUUGUUCCAAACCAUGUGAUGGUGCAUGUGAGAGGCGACUACCUCAGAGCAGAACUCUCUCAAAUAGAGGCCCAGGCAAAAGCAGAUCUUGAAUACGCACAAAUCCAUGGAAUUCUCCCAUACAGAGGAGGAACAUCGGCUACUGAUACAGGUGUUGUCGACGAGGAGAGGCGUGAGCGUGUACGGAGCUUAUCUGCAGCUACUCUGGUUGUGGUUGAGCAAGCUAUGGAGAAUCCAGAACUUUUUGAAGGCAUAUUUGAUCAGGCUAGGCAAGUGCUAACAACCCUCGGGGUGCAAGGUUACAACACAGGUAUCAGUACAAAACCAAAACUAAGUGCGCUGGCUACUUAG
This 423-nucleotide ribosomal RNA is filed under the name Triticum aestivum (bread wheat). RNAcentral's name for it is "partial small subunit ribosomal RNA". Lineage: Eukaryota; Viridiplantae; Streptophyta; Magnoliopsida; Poales; Poaceae. The record is from RNAcentral.